RNA transcript from Apis cerana (Asiatic honeybee), 18830 nucleotides. It is a transcript of the gene named dystrophin, isoforms A/C/F/G/H, with no coding region annotated. The record is from RefSeq and is a predicted model, not a curated record. Lineage: Eukaryota; Metazoa; Arthropoda; Insecta; Hymenoptera; Apidae.
GUCAGAUAGUCACAAUAUAGAGUGUUACUUCCGUUGACAAGUAAAUCAUUGUCAGUGUGAAACGAGUAUUGCCCGUAACAGUAUAUUUAGUCGUAGUUUUAAUCAUAAUUCUCGUUUUUACAAACAUUUUUCUAAUGUUUCUUGACGAUAUUUAAGAUGCAACCAAGAAAAAUUCGUUGGAUUAUUCAAAUUGAAGAAAAUCCAUGGCAAGGUGAGAGCGUUGAGGAGCAAAUUUCUUGCAUUAAAGAUGAGCGGGAAGAUGUACAAAAGAAAACGUUUGCAAAAUGGAUAAAUUCGCAAUUACUUAAGAAUCAUCACGAGCCGAUUUCUGAUUUGUUCGUUGACUUACGAGAUGGCAAUCGGUUAUUGUCUCUCUUAGAAGUUCUCACGUCUAAAGUCUAUAAAAGAGAACGCGGUCGAAUGAGAGUUCAUCAUUUGAAUAAUGUUAAUAAAGCUUUGCAAAUUCUUGAACAAAAUAAUGUAAAACUCGUAAAUAUUAGCAGUAACGAUAUAGUUGAUGGGAAUCCUAAGCUAACACUUGGAUUAGUAUGGAGUAUUAUUCUACACUGGCAGGUACAUUACCAUCUGAAAGAUUUAAUGACAGAACUACAACAAACGAAUUUAGAGAAAACUCUUUUAGCAUGGUGUCGUCAAAAUUCACAGAAUUAUUCUGGAGUUGAUAUUAAAAACUUUACUACAUCUUGGUCAGAUGGUUUAGCAUUCAAUGCUAUUCUUCAUAAAUGGAAACCGCAUUUAUUUGAUUUUAAUAACAUAGCGCGUAAACAUCCCAAUGCUAGACUAGAUCAUGCAUUUCGUAUUGCUCAGGAACAAUUGGGUAUUGAACGUUUGUUGGAUCCAGAAGAUGUGAAUACAUCGGUGCCGGAUAAAAAAUCAAUAAUGAUGUACGUUAUGUGUCUUUUUCAAUCAUUACCUCAUUCUGGAGAUGAUAUAGGCGAAUUAGAUCUAUCAGUAGCAAGUGAUAGUAGCCCGGUUACUACUCCGGGAGCAGAGAAUACAUUAUCUUUUACAAAUUUUGGAACACCAACAUCACGACCGAUGAGUCUUGCAACAAACGUAUCGGUAGAACUUGGUGGUUAUCAAGUGGCUCUCGAGGAAGUUUUGACUUGGCUUUUGGAGGCAGAAGAUAAAUUAAAUCAUGCUCCAGAUCCUGGAUCUACUUUAGAAGUGUUAAAGCAACAAUUUCACGAACACGAAACAUUUUUGGUAGAAUUAUCCGGCCAUCAAGAUGGUGUUGGUGCUGUAUUGGAAGAAGGUGCGAGAUUAUUAGCGGAAGGCGGUUUACACAAGGAUGAAGAACACGAAGUUCGUGUUCAAAUGUCAUUAUUAAAUUCUCGAUGGGAAGGACUUCGAAUGCGUGCAAUGGAAAGACAAACUAAAAUUCAUGAAGUUCUUAUGCAAAUGCAACAAGGUCAGUUAGAUGCAUUACGGCAAUGGUUAACAAGGACUGAAGAUAGAAUUUCGCGAAUGGCAGCUAUUGAAUUAAAUCAAUCUGCCUUAGAUGAACAACUGAAACAAUUGAAUGAACUAGAGCAAGAUAUUGAAGCACAGCAGGGAGUUGUUGAUGGUAUGAGAAAUAUGGUAGUUGUUGUGGAUGAAGAAAAUUCUGAAGCAGUUUAUGCGCAAAUGGAAGAUCAAUUAUCUGCUCUCGGAGAGCGAUGGACUCACAUUUGUCAAUGGAAAGAAGAAAGGAGGCAACGUUUGCAGGCUCUUUCUUCACUUUGGCAAAAUGUUAAUGAUGACUAUAAAAGAUUAAUGUCAUGGUUGAAUGAAACUGAAAUUACUUUAAAACAAAUGGAAGCAAAUCCUGCUUCUGAAAUUGGUGAAGUGCUUGAAAGAAUUAAAAAAUUACAAAUAUUAAAAAUGGAUAUGGAUGAAAAUCAAAGAAAGUUAAUGUCCUUACAAGAAUCAAUUCAAGAAUUGGAAGGACAAAAUACUUCACCAGAAUGUAUUAAUAUAUUAGAAAAAAUCGAAAAUUUGCAAGAUCGAUGGGAAGCAGUGGGACAAAUAAUGGAAGUGCAAACACAAAGGAUAACAAAUUCGGGAUUUGAAUUCGAUCUGAAGACUGAGAGGGAAACAACUGUAGUUACAGGCAAUGAAUGGAUGUCUGAAACAGUAACAAGUAUCGCUUAUAAAGAAGAAAUUACUGCAACUUCUACACCUCAUAGUGAUUCAAAGAAACGUCGCGUAGAUAGUACAAGUAGACAUGAAUUUGAGUCGGCAUUACAUAAUCUGUAUAAAUGGCUCGAUUAUGUUGAUUUAGAAAUUGGACGAUCGGAAGGAGUAUUUGACGAAUUAAGCAUCGAAGAAAAGAAAGUUGUUUAUAAUGAUACAAUUGCUGAUAUAGAAGCACAUAAAAUUGAUUAUGACAAAGUUUUAGAAUUGGGGAAGCAGCUUCUCGAAGAAUUAAAAAAUGCUAAUGAAUCGAUUGAAACAGAUGAAACAAAAAUUAAAGAUAUACAGAAUUGUUGGAUGGCAACUAAUAGUCGGCUUGAAGAAAUAAGAAAUCGUAUAGAAUAUCUAGAAGAAGUAAAAAAAUUUCGAACAGAACUGGCUAGUUUGAAUUUAAUGUUAGAUAGCUAUUCUAAAUGGUUUGAUUCAAAUAAAGGAAACAAUCAAGUGGAACCAUUUAGAGUGAAAUUGAAAUCAAUGAAAUCUCAUGAAGAGCGCAUAAAAAAAUUGUUAGAAAAAGCCAAAGAAUUAUCAGAAAAUCAAACUGGUAUUAAUGAAACUAUCAAUUUAAAUGAAGAUAUACAAAUGUUUGUUUGUAAUUGGGAAAAAUUAUAUAAAACAUUAUCUGAAAAAUUAACUGAAUUAAAUGAUGCUGUUGAUAAAACUCCGCCGAAGAAAUAUACAGAUGCAGUUACUAAUCUCACUUCUUUUAUUAAUAAUGUGGAAAGUAUGUUAUUAUCAGAACAUAUAGUAAUGUCAGAUGAUAAGACAAUGACAGAACAAUUACGAAAAUUCAGCGAUUUGCAAAAUUCUUUGAGAGAACAUCAAGAAGCUUAUAAUUAUGUGAAUAGUGUUGGACAUGAAUUAAUAAUGAAGACCAAUGGAGAGUCUCAGGGUCAAAGACUUAAAGAUGCAUUACAAGAUCUUAUUACUAAAUGGAGUGAUAUACCCAUAAUAUUAGAAGAACGUCAACAAAAUUUGCAAAAAGAUAUUCAAUCUUUAAAAAUAUUCAAUAAUGAGCUUUCAGAGCUUGAAAAUUGGCUUGAAAAAUCAAACCAAUAUUUAGAAGAAUUAUCAAAAGAUAAUGUAUCAAAUAAUAUUGAAACUAUGGAAUUUAGAUUAAAACAGAUUCAAUCUUUUUGUGAAGAUAUAAAUGAAAUGAAACCAAAAAUAGAAAAACUCCAAAUUUCUACAAAUAAAUUACUUGAAAAUUCUGAACCAAAAUUUGCAAAUGUGUUAAAUAAUAAGUUAGAAGUUGUGUCGCAUAAAUGGAAUGCUAUCGUUGAUGGUGCUAAAAGUUUAAAUGAUAAGUAUGAGGAUACAUUGAAAAAAAAUGAUGAAAUAAUAAAUGGAAUAGAAGAUUUUACAAAGUGGUUAUCGAGUUUAGAAAAAGAAAUACCAAUUGAAACCAAAAUAACGUCUUCUGUUGAACUGUUUCAAGUUCGUGGUCGAUAUCAGUCAUUAAAAGAAAAGAUAGAUAAGCGAGUAGAAGAAUUUAGAAAUCUCAAUGAAAUGGGCAAUGAUAAAUUAUUAAGUUCUGAAGGAUCUUCAGUGCAAGAACUUGGUAGACGAUUUACAUUUUUAAAUGCUCGUUGGACCGAUGUUACAGAUCGAAUUUAUGAACGAUAUAGACAUUUACAAAAUGCUAGCCAUGAAUAUGGUGAAUUCCGUGCUUUAGUUGCACAAGAAAGUGAUUGGUUGGAUAAAUUAGAUAAAAGAUUAAGAAGAUCAACAGAAAGAGCUGCAGAUGCUGAAGAAAUAUCAGAAGAACUUGAUGAUUUAGAAAAUUAUAUACGAAAUCAUCCAGAAUUAAGACUUGAAAAGAUACAAGAAAUAGGUAAACAAUUGAUUGAAAGUAACAUCAUGACACAGUCCAUUCAAACAGAUGUAGAGAAUCUAACAAGUCGUUGGGAAAGCUUAAAUAAUCAGGCAGGGCAGCGAGCAAAGCUGCUGGAAGGAUCUGUGAAGCAAGCACAACAAUCAGAAGGACGUAUUCUUGCUCUUCAGCAUUCUUUAACGCAAAUAGAUUCUGUACUAACAGCACGUCUUGAUUGUGACCUUACAGCUGAUGAUUUGCCUCAUGAUUAUCAGAAAUUAAUGGAAGAAAUGGAACAUCAACGAUCUACACUUCAAGAAAUGGCAUUACAAAUUGAAUCCUACAAGGCUUCUGGAAAACAAGAAGCAGCACUCAGAUUACAAGAACAAUUAACUCUCAUUGAACAGAAAUUCUCUGAAGUUCAACAGAAAUUUCAACGUUUUCGAUGUCCAACCAAUUUAGAACCAAGAUUAUCCAGAGCUUUACGGGAACUUAGAGGAAUAGAAGAAGCAACUUGUUUAUUAGAACUGUCUUCAGAAGAUCCAGAAGCUAUUGAAGGUCAACUUAAACAUUGUCUGCGUUUUUAUCAAACAUUAAGUGAAAUUAAAAGUGAGAUAGAAAAUAUUAUAAUAACUGGUAGAAAAUUAGUUGAAGAAAAAAGUGUCACUGAACCAGAAAAAUUUUCGCGACGAAUUGAUAUGUUAAAAGAAUUAUAUAAUAAGUUGGGUUUACAUAUAACUGAAUCAAAAGCAUGUUUGGAAACAGCACUGGAUUUAUCACGCGAUAUGUAUAAAAAUAUGUCUUAUAUUAAUAUGUCUAUAGAUAGUAUUAAUAAAGAAUUGGAUAAUCAAAAAAAUAUGCCUGAUCUUCCAGUUAAUGCGAUAUAUGUACGAGAAACCUUAACAGAAGUAAUACCACGAUUAAACGUUAUAAAAGAUAAAUUGUUAAAUUCACAGGAUGAAUUUUCUAAACUUUGCGAUCCUAUGUAUUUAGAACAACUUAAAGAAAAAUUAUCAGAUGUUGUUAUUAGAUUAGCAAAUACUGAAAAGAGAUUAAGAUUAUGUAAUGCUUCAGAGGAAGAGCCUAAUGUUGAUGAAAUAAAAGCAUGGCUUUUACAAGUUGAGGAAAAACUAAAUAAAUUAGAUAGUGUUCCGGUUGAUCAAUUGACGGAAAAUCAUUUUGAACAAUGCAAAGCUGUUCAAAGCGAAAUGAUUGAAGCAAAACCAAAAGUCAACCAACUACAACGUUAUACUUAUUACCCGAAAGUUUCAGAUGUUUGUAAGAAAUGGGAGGAUAUAUCUAAUAGAAUUCAAGAAUGGAUCCACAAAAUCACAGACAGUUUAUUAAUAAAAAGUAAAAUGGGAGAAACAAAGGGGAGAGACAAUUAUGGACGUACUAAAUUGUCUAGACAAGAUCAAACUUCAAUGCAACUAGCUAAAAAAGAAAAUAAAUUGAUAGAUGAGAAUGAGGAAAUAUAUGGCAUAGGAUAUCUUAAUCCCGCAUUUGAUGAAAGUCAAUGUAAUAUUAUUUGUACACCUGAAAGUUCACCAGUUGAUAUUGUUCAUCGAAGCCGAAAAUCUUCCGCAAAAUCUGAGAAAGUAAAAGCUAAAAUUGUAGAUGUUAGUAGAACUGUUAGACGAAAAUUAGACAUGAGCUCUAUACCUGAUGUUGUUCAGACUUCUCAACCACAAGUUGUUCAUAUUGACGACGAUCUAUCUUCUUUAUCUCCUGAUACAGAUGUAUACAUGGCCGACGAAGAAUUUUUUUUGUCCAAAAAUAGCACAUUAUUUUCUCAAGUUUCUUCCAAUACAUUGACUACGACAGAAUCCAAACCAUUAAACUAUAACACACAGAUGAAUCCUUUUCGUAUUGUAGAAGUGAAAGAAAUGGAAAUAAUAAAAUCAGUUGCAUCUCCUGAAAAUCACGUAAUAUUACCAAGUGCAAAUGUCAGUGCAGGAUUAAAGCCACAAGUUGUUGAAAGAGUAGAAAUUAUUGAAGAUACAGAAACUGAACCAGAAUCAGUAGAUACAGAUACAGAAGAUAAAGAAAGUAGGAUAAAAGUUUGUAAAAAUGCAAUUAGUAAUGGGAAUCAAACUGUCAAUAACAAAAGAGAACUUAUUCCUAUAUUGAAGAAGAAAAAAAUAAUAGAUUCAUAUUCUGCGAAAAAUGUUAAAAAAUUAACUCUGAAAUUAGAUGUUGAGGAUACUUCAACUGAUAAUCAAAUUUCAAAUUAUAAAUCACAAUUUUCAUGUAAAGUAAACAAAUUUGAAAAAAACUCCGCGUGGAAAGAUAAAGAUAGCAUAGCUGAAUAUCUUAUACUUGAAGAUAAUGAAAUAAAUACAAAAUUAAGUUCACGAUGUUCUGCUGAUCUUGUUCUCACAUCAGGAAUUAAUUCUACAAAAAGCAAAAAAGAGCUCAGUAAUGUUAAAGAAUUAACAUUUGAAAAAGAUCUUUCAAAAUUGCAUAGUAAUGAAAAUCAUAAUAAUGAUUAUGAAAGAAAUAUAAAAUUGAUGUUAUUUAGACGUGCUAGAAGUAUUUCAAAAGAUGAUACACUAGAGGAUUGUGAAAGUUUUUACGGAAGCGAUAAAGAAACAGAUGAUGUUUUAAUUUUUUCUGAUGAUACAGAAAUUGAUGUUGGAAGUUCCAGUUCAGAAGGAGAAGAUUCAAAUUCAAAGGAGCAUAUUGAGCACCUCUUGGGCAAGAUACAGAAUGAAAAAUUAUCCCAAGAAAUACAAUAUAAAAUAGAGACGAAGAUUUCUAGUGAUAAGAGGCCUUUUAAAAUUUCAACUAGUUUAUCCAGAACAGGCUUAGAAAAAAGUAUUUUGGAAUUUGAACAAGCUGCACAACGAAUGUUACAUAGAAUGGAUGUCAUGUUGAUGAGCAUCAGUGGAAUCAGUAAUGAAAAAGAUCCAACUAAACGACUAGAAGUACUAAAAGGAGAAGUUAGUACUCUUGCUCCAGAUGCAGCAGCUUUGAUCAGUAAAGGUGAUGGUCUAGUUAUGACAGUACAUAUAUCUGAUCCUGUUAGAGCUGAGAAGAUAAAAAAUGAACAUCAAGAUAAAUUAAGAAGCAAAUGGCAUCAAGUUAUGUCCGAAAUAGAAACAAGGCGCACACAAGCACAAAGAGGAGAAGAAAUGUUAAGACAAUAUAAUGCCAUAAUUGCCGAAUUUGAAGAUUGGUUUCGAGAUGUACCAUUAAAACUUGAACAAGUAAAUAAUUAUGAGGGGCAAUUAGAAUCUUUUACUGUAGAAUUUGAUGCUAAACAAGAACAGAUCAAAAAAUUAAAUGAAUUAGCUAUUGAAUUAAAAAAAUUAAAUAUUGGAUAUGCUGAAACUAUAAGAUAUAGCAUUAACAAUAGAUGGCAAGAAGUUAGUUCACAAUUUAAAAGAUUUAGUGGUAGUAAGGAUAAGGACAAACAUGUGACAGACAAAAAAGUUGAAGUGGAUGUUGGAGGAGUUGAUAUGCAAGAAUUUACUGCCAGAGUUAAUAAGAUUAGAGAAGCUGUUGUAACUGUGACGAGAUCUUUAAAUUCCGUGCCAUUGAAUGGUGAUGAUUAUGAAAUUUUUUCAAAUCAAGAAGAAUGUUUAAAAAAAAUUAAUAAUGCAUUAAAUAUUUUAAAACCAAGCAUUGAAGAAAUCAACACUAUUUUUGAAAAUGUUGCUUCGCAGUUAAGAAGAGAGCAAGGUGAACAAAUUAGACGUUUGAGUGAUAAAUUACGAGAUGAAUGGAUAAAUGUUAAUCAGAGUUAUGUAGAAAGAUAUAAUCGUUGGAAUAAAUGUUAUGAAAAAUGGAAAGAACUUUGCAAUACAUGUCGGUCUUUUUCCGAUUGGUUAGAUAAAACGGAAGAUUCAUUAAAAAAAUUAAAUUCUCUUGGUCAAUCUAAAAUAUCAAGAACAAAAAUAUUUGAAUUGGAACAAGAGAUUUCUAGGAUGCAAAGAAUUAUGAAUAAUAUUAACGUUUCAAGUGCUAGUAUUUUAACUCGUGCUAAAGCUGAAGAUAUGAUGGAAUUAAGAGAAAUGAUUGAAACCAUAAAACGACGUUGGCAAAAUAUUAUAACGGACUUAAAUACACGAAAAGAAAAGAAUUUUGCUAUGGAAAAGAAAGUGAACAAUGAAGGCAGAAUUUUAGAAAGUGCUUAUAAUAUAUUAGAACAAAUCAAUUCUUUGUUGGUGUCAGCAGCAAAUCCUUCAGAUGAGACUUCUUUAUCAAUAAGAUUAUCAUUAAUUAAGGCUAGACAAGAAGAACUUUCUUCUCGCAAAAGAUCAUUACAGAAUUUAAUAAUAAAUCAAAAUGAUAUUUCUUUGGGAGAAGAUGAAUGUAAUAAAUUACUUUCAGAUAUGGAUAAGGCUAAUAUAAACCUUUCCAAUCAUCGUGACUAUGUUGAAAAUAAACUUAUAUCUCUUAAAAAAUAUAUUUGUACUUUGGAUACUAUUAUGGCUUGGGUCAUGGAAACUAGAGCGAGAAUAAAUAUAUCCCGAGAAUUACCCCAACAAGAACGAGUAGAAAUUAUUAACAAUAUUAUGAUCAAAGUUGAAGAUCGAGAAAUGGAAGUAAAGGAUGUAUUAGAAAAUUAUACUAAUUUAGAGAAAGAAUGCGAGUCUGCAAAACAACCUAUUUCUGUAGAAUUACAAGAAAAGCUCAAAAAAUUACGAGAAGAUUGGCAAUUUGUGAAAAACAAUGAAGAAUUAUCAAGUCAUGAUGUCAAAACGGCGAUUGCUAUUGCAACGGCGUCAUCAGGGCUCGAAGUGGAAAAGACUGCAGGAGCUGGAUCGGGGGCAUCGGGUGCAACUGCGGGGGGCCCUCGGGGGUUGACACCUUCCCCUGCCCCCUCAACACCCUCGACCCCCGUCACCACCACUAGUCCUUCGGUCUGCACAUCCUCGCCUUCGUCCUCGCCUUCACCCUCCUCCUCACCCUCUGCUCUUGUAGCAGGCUUUGACAAAUCGGUGCUACAGAUACGCGAUUGGCUAGCUGUGGAAGAAGAGAUGUUACGGAAACAAGCUGUGGUCGUCGGCGAUGUCGGCGAAAUUAUGGAGGCGCUUGAUAAACAAAUGGAUGUUCUACGAGAGCUGGGGCAGAAAAAGCCGCAGUUGGACGAGCUGGUGCACACGGCGGAAGCGCUUCGCGCGGACACGAAUAGACAGCAAGUGCACGGUAAAGGAGGCGAGAAGAUCCAACAACAACCGCCCGGUUCUCCGUAUUCCUCGCACGGCUCUCCGCUGAGAACACCGAUGAGUUCCGGUCACGGAACACCCCAGGACUCGCCCCAUGUGGCCAGACAUCGAAGGGACUCGGAACACUCGGCCGGCGUUGGAUCGAGGCGAGGCUCCUCGGAUGUCGUCUCGCCUCUGCCCGACGCUCCUCCCUCAGGAUCGCCGGACAACCGACAGCCUCGUCGACGAUCGGACUACAGCCCCCAUCAGGUUACGAAGCUGAGGGAGCACUGGGACGAGAUGAACUCGAAAAUGAUGCAGAGGAAGACGGAGUUGGACGCGAUGCUCGGGGACAGCCAGCGAUACGAGGCGAAAAGGAACGAGGUGGAGGUCUGGUUGGCGCGAAUGGAAACUCGGCUGGAGAAAAUGCGGGCCGUCGGCCACACCGCCGAUGUUCUCGAGGCCCAACUCCGAGAACAAAAGUCGUUCCACGCCGAGCUCCACCAGUACAAGCAUCAGAUCGAGCAGUUCAAUCAGCUCACGCAGAAGCUGAUCGCCGUUUAUCAGGAGGACGACACGACCCGCGUGAAAAAGAUGACCGAGACCAUCAAUCAGAGAUACAACAACCUCAACACCAGCAUCAUCAAUCGAGGAAAACUGCUUCACUCCGCGAUGAACUCCCUCCACAACUUCGACCGGUCCCUGGACAAGUUCUUGGCUUGGUUGAGCGAAGCUGAGUCCUCGAUGGAAGGAUUGGAAGCGGAGGCCGAUCGGCUGGGCGGGCGACGAGACCAGGGUGCGCUCAGACGACCGCAACAUCAGCUUAAGGUACGUAAGGCGGAGCGAUUCCCUUUUUACUCAUCUCGUCUAUCGGACCUACAAUCGGAAAUCGAGACGCACCGAGACGUGUACACGUCGUUGAACGGCACAGGCAGGAAGUUGUUGAGCUCUUUGGCGAGCCAAGAUGACGCGGUUAUGCUGCAACGACGACUGGACGAGAUGAACCAGCGAUGGCAUCACUUGAAAGCGAAAAGCAUGGCAAUAAGAAACCGGUUGGAAAGCAAUACGGAACACUGGAACGCUCUUCUGUUGUCUUUGCGCGAGCUUAUCGAAUGGGUGAUAAGAAAAGACACCGAGCUCACCGGUUUGGGCCCUGUUUGCGGGGAUGUAGCCGCCUUACAAAAACAAGAGGACGAUCAUCGCGGGUUCAGGAGGCAGCUCGAGGACAAACGACCGAUCGUCGAGAACAAUUUGCUGAGCGGACGGCAGUACAUCGCCAACGAGCCGCCCCUCUCUGACACGUCGGAUUCCGAAGCCGGAAGAGAAUUGGAUGGCGAUUCGAGGGGCUACAGAAGCGCGGAGGAGCAGGCACGCGAAUUGACGCGCAGCAUUCGCCGGGAAGUGAACAAACUUUCAGAGCAGUGGAACGCCCUAAUCGAACGUAGCGAUGCGUGGAAGCGGAAACUCGACGACACCGCUAACCAAUUUCGUUAAAUGGAGAGAUUUUCCGAAGAGGAGAAUUUUUCACUUCGGAAAGAAUUAGGAUUGCGAAAUAUUCAAGGGGGGUAACGAUAAUUAUUCCAAUGGAUACAAUUUUUUCCUUGCUAUUUUCCUUUUGAAAAGGAAAACUUGUUCGACGCGUUAAAGAAGGAAUUUAUAGCCGGAUGAAAUAACUUGGAAAAAGAGAAUCCGUUCACCGAAAAUCAAUGAACAAUUCAUCCGGACAAUUGAUUUCAAUGCUCGACAAAUCAUCUCGUGAAAUUCCUCUCCUCGAGGAUAUAAUAGCGCUAAACGAAUCGCUGUCGGUGGAACCGCCGUUCCUCGAGAGCCACCGAGAAGACUCAAACGCAUUAUUUCCACCGUGGUGGACCGUCAAAGGGGGCGAACUCGCGUUGAAAGGUCGAGCCGGCCGCUUAACCCGGAACUUAACGAGUUCGACGAAGAAGGUAAUAACUUCUUUUCAACGACGCUUAAAAUAACAUCGGGGGGAAUUCGUCUUAAUAUAAUUCGAGCUUUGCCCCACUCCCUUCUCCCUUUCGAAAUUCGAAUAACCGAUCCUUUGUCCCAAUUCGAAACCCGACCCGGCCACCAACACUUGACGACCACGUUUUCUUCGUCCAAGUUAACGCGAUAUCCCGCUCGCCGAUUGCUCCUUUCUCGCCCCUAAUUAAAACGAAAAUAAUGAUUUCACGAUGAAAAACGGGGCUCGUGGCGCGUUUACGCGCCAAACGUUUUAUAAUUAAAACGGGGAACGUUUCCCUUCGUUCGCGAUACAGGGCGCAUUCGACGAUAAAGGCUUGCUUCGAGGAUAUUUAAUUAAAGGACUGGCAUGAUUAAACGAGUGGAAAUCUCGUUCGUACGAGGAACGUUCGAAACUAGAGGAUGCUUGCGUUGAUUGUGCGCGUGAUUCGUGGGACGCUGCGAGAAAUUGCUUGCGCAUUUUCAUAAAAAUUUGAUAGUUUUCGCACAUAGAAUGAUUCAUUCAUGCGAAAUAUGGAAUUAGAUUCUGUCCGUUUCGAUGUUAAAAGUAUUUCGUUUGAGGCCAGAUUUCAAAGAAGUUUUCCGAAAGAUAUUGCAUAGAAAAUAUCGACUUGGCUUAAUUAAAAAUGCAGCUAUACAAAAAAAAGUGGCUGUGAAAAGAAAGAGUUUUUAAUAUAAUCGUCGGACGCGUUUCGAAACGAUCUCUUUGAAAUGGGAAAGAAAAAAGAUGCCGACAAAGAAACAUUGGAACGUUAUCGUAUCGAUAAGUUUGAUCAACGAUUUCGAAAUCGACACCACGUGCUUAUUAUCCCGAAAUAAUACUUUUACAAUCGUGGGAUCGAUAUUGAAAAGCAAAUCGACCUCGAAAUCGCGAAAAAUUGACGGGACGAAUCGAGCGAGAAAUCUCGGUUAAAACAAAAGAGCGAACAAUUAAAGGAAUGCGAACGAUCUCUUCUACGAUCUCUUCGAUACGGUAUAAACGAAGAAUGAUCAAAGUUUCCGCGCAAUCAGCAAGUUCCUGCCGCGAAUGCAUAAUUCAUGAGCGAAACACAAUUUAACUUUUAAAUUCCACGUGCUCUGCCCUGGCGCGCUUUAAUUAUCGGCUAUCCGGUAAUUACAAGCGACACCUUCGCUUCUUCCUCUCGGUCAGAUACCGUAAUAUUAAUUCGAUUCAUCGCCACCACCCCUAUGAGUAACUGGAGGAUCGUGCAAUUUUGUCGAACUGGAUUUUAUCCUUCGUCCUUCGUCCUUGUGCGCGAUCACGCGACCGGGUUUAAGCUUAAUCUGAUGGAAGAUCGAGGUCAAGUCUGGCAAGUCUUCUGGACGCACGCGUGUACAUGAAUGUUGGAGAGCAUGGCGUGGAAAGGGAUAUAAAAGUUUUCGAAUGAGUGACCCACCCGCGUCGUUAUUGGAUUUAUAAUAAAAUGACUUACAUGUAUACCUUUUCGUAUAUAUAAGAAAUAAUCGAUAGAUUUUAUUCUUACGAUUUGUAGUACGUGCUAUUGUGUUAGUAUGCAAAUUGUUUCACGUAAGUGUGAGAGGGCAUUGCUUCGUAACUCGGAUAUUGAAGUGUUGGAUCGAAUGAAAACUAAAACUUGACCAUCUAGGUGAUCAGGUUUUUCAGGUUUGAAAAGUUAGAACGACAAGAGGAUAGAAAUCGUUGCUCGACAUAUAUAUACACGUUACAUAUCUUACGGAAUAGAUACGGCUUCCUCCAUGAUUAACGUUCGAUGCACAACGAUUCUUCGAUAAACACGUCUCCAAUUAAAGACGAAGAUAUGCGUCUAAUGAUAUUUAGCCAGCAUCCAGUUUGUUUGGUUUGAAAGCACGCUCAUAUUUUUACGCGGAAAAUCAAAGCCGCGAAAUUCUCUCCCAGGUCAGUGACUUCCGGUAUCCGACUGAAAUAUCAUCGAAAGAUUCUCUUCGCCACGAAUGACAGCGUUGCAAUAUUAACUAUACUAAAAGAGGAAGGAGAGAAAAGGAGACUUGUUCCGUAGCAUCCGCGUGGAAUCUCGACGACUCAAAAAACGGAGGAAUCGAAAACUUGGAGGGAGAUAAAUUGGAAGCAGGAGGAUAAAGCUGACUAAAGGGAUAGGUUUUCGCGUGGAUACGCGGUGGAAAAGUGGACGCGGGUUCGGAGAUAACCCGGUUUAAGCUGGAAAUUAAGCUGAACCCUCGGUUGUCUCGGGCGCGGAAUUCGGCUCCGUAGUUAGGUAUGCAAAGCAGGAGAGGAGAGGAGAGAAGCGAGGCAAGGCAGCGGGAAGGUUGGCCGGCCCCAAUCAGAGAAUAUAGCCGGGAGCCAGUUCUAUCCAAAUACACGCGGCGCACGAAUGGCGAGUACACGAAUCGCGCGCGCGCUUGUGCCGGAAGCGGCGGAAGGUGCGGGGCGUUCAUAGUUAGGCCGAAUGAAUGAAUGCAUACGCGGUACCCGGGCAAACUCAAACACCAUCUUUCGAAUUAUAACCGCCGCGCUAUCGGAUUAUCUUUUGAAUUAUUCCGGAUUGUGCCGCGUUCCCCACCGAUUCCAAGUCGGCGCGUAGACGAGGGGGAGGCACGCUCUGUACAGAUUUCCCCGGUUUAGAUGUACAGGCACGAAGGUAUAUACGGAGAGGCCGUGGUGUGGAUGGAUCAGGAAUGCAGGAAUCGAUUUUUGUUACUUCCCUCCACCACGUGUGUCCGUGUUGCGUUGUCUGUGGGCUAGAAUGGAAAGAUGAUAGAAAAACAAGCGGAGCCGGAUCGUUUUUAUUCGAAUCCGAAUAGUGCGGCUCGUGAAUAGUAUUCUGUUAUCGUCGCCGAUGGUAAUCGAGAUUAGAAAACAGGGAAAUGGAACCGGUAACCGGUUCAAUCGAAUUGAUGGAAUGUGAUUUUUGGAUAUUUAAAAUAAGGAAAAAAGAGGUUUUUUCGUUUGGGAAAAUUUUUCAAUCGCUUGAAUCGAACCCUUGACGAAUCACCUCGUCUAGAAGUUGUAUGAAAAGUGGUAAAAAUUUCUCUCUCUCUCUCUUUCUCUUUCUGUCUUCCUUUUUCCGUAUUUUUAUUUUUACGGACGUUGGUAUUUUCGGAACACUCGAGACGAGAAUUUUCAGCUCGAGACGCAAGCGAGCGGAAUCGGCGACGAUGUUAAUGCUCGCGGCCACCGACCGCAUCAGUAUCAAUCUAGUUCUCGACGAGUGAGUACUUAAUCAGUCAAUUAGCAAUGUUCCGCUAAUUGGUUAAUUACCAAGCAAAUUUGUAGCCAGCAAUGGUAUUGCACCAUUGAGGACACGCAUGAUUUAUGUGUGUGCAUCACAAUUAUAUAUAUAUAUAUACAUAUAUGGGGGAGGUGAAAGUUACGCGACGACCUCGCUUGUCCAGGCAUUAAGACACGAAUGUAUUUAUCUCUGUGAUCUACGGUUAUACCAUGGCAUAAUGAACCAGUUUUAGUUAGAUACGCGUGCCAACGAUUCGUGCAGUCACAGUGGCUGAUUCGACACACCAACGGAAAGGAAAAAAAUAUUUCCACGUACCCAUUAUUCAUUCAUGGAUCAUUUUGCGCGAAAUCAAGGAUAUCAGGUGUGACCUCAUAGCAUUGGAUUCGAUUUUUAUUCCCUGCGUCUAUAUAUAGAUGUGGGAGAGGGAAAUUCGAUCGAUGCGACAGAUCACAAUCUUUAACAAAACGAUGGAACGAAAGUGAUCGUGUAACGUUGGAAAUAAAAUUGCAACGUUCUUAGAAUAUAUAUAAAGAAAUAUGUAAAGUGUGAUACGUCCUAAUGAAUAAUGUAUAAAAGUAUGCUUUUCGCUCGAGUAUCAUAUAUAAUGAAGCUUCGAAAAUGGAAACAGGUGACGAAUCUGUUCGCGCGAAUCGUGCGAUAAAAAUAUCUUUCCCUGGAGUAAACUGACACUCAACCGAGAGAAACAUGGUCCCUGUCUCUGAUCCACGAUUCCAAUGAAAACCUUCUCUAAAAUUCGGAUCGAGAUGCGUUUUCCCCGUUGGCUCGCCGCAAAAUUCGCGUUUUCUAUUCUAUUCAUCGUCGUUGAAACACCCAGGCCGGCAGAAUUUCCGUUUCGAAUGGAUGGACGACAGAGAGUAAUCGACGAAUUCGCAACGGAAAGGAAAGGCUUCCAUCUCCUCCCCCCUCUCCCCAUCGAGGUGAAUUAAAACUACGACCGGAAGUGAACACUUACGUCCUAUUAUCCGCGCCGCAAGUUCAGCCACGCGUUAAAUUCUCCUCGUGCUCGUCGUCCAAAUAUACACCUAGUCGAUUCCCGCGUCUUUCAAGUUCAAUGCACCUUGGCGUCGUCGCGACGCCCCUUUCCACGCCGCGUAACGUAAAAUAUUCCCAUCGUGUUAAGAUUUUCAUCCUAUCCAGACUCGUUCCGAGUCUAAUAAACGAGUCGAAACUACCUCCGGUUGGAAGAACAGCUUUCAGGCUGAUUGAAUGAAAUCGAAAAUCGCGAGAUCUUAAAUCUUUAAUCGGCGUAAUUGAGGAUCGAUUACCGGGAUUUAAGGAAGGGUAUUUCAUCGGUAUUCUGAGAGUAAGCGAUUCUGGGUGAGGAAUCUCUGAUUAGGAGGGAAUUAAGAAGCAUAUCGCAAUUGAUUUAAAGAGUUAAACUCGAGGUGAAUUCGAGAAACGUAUAAUGGAGUCGUUGAAAAUGUUUGUCGAUACAUAUUUACCGCGAGUUAUCGUAAACUGUUGAGAGCUGUUCGACAAUGUUUCGUCACUCGAGACGAGGCAGGAUGCGAUGGCAAUGAACGAUCGUUCCAAAACACCAUCGGAAAUCAGGGAAUCGGCCUCGACCGGUAUUGUAAUAUAGCACGCUGACGCCUCUGACUCUUGCAUUAAACAUGAGUUAUGUGUCGGCAUUGUGUUCUAUACAGAGCCGCGCCGCUGUUAAAUUUACAUUAUGUUCAUGUGAACACCAAUUAUUGAACGGCACGGUGUUGGAGUUGAAACAUCGAGCCUUGAAAAGUCUCUUUCUCCUCGUGGCUCAUAUAUUCGACGAAUUUUAUAACCAUUUAUCAUCCACCAUUUAAAGAUUAGAUUAGAAAGGAUAGAAACAAUUGGACUGUUUGCAAAUUGAGAAAAAGUCUAGCUCUAACUUAUCGAAUUUGCUGGAAAUGUAAAAAUUCUUGGGAAAGCGUUCGAACGUCUCGAAUUGAAGCGGAAAAGAAGGUGAAAUAGAGUGUACGGGAUCUUCUUUUAUCCGGUACAUCGUUCGCUUAUCUCGUAUCACGAUUACCUUCAGCUCGACUGAAUAAAUAGAUCAGCGAGUUCUCUCCUCCUCGUUCGUGCGAAUGGACCGAAUAUUUGUAUCCGGUCGACGUGUACAAGUUCGAACGAACAGAUUGCAAUAAUUCUGAACGAUGUCAGGAUGUGUGCUCUAUAAUUCUGCGAACUGGAUCCAUCUCACAUUCUUGUUUCUCGUCUAUAUUUGAAAAUAUAUAGACACGGAUGUGGAAAUGACAUCGAAUUUACUCUUUCGUGGAAUCGUUUGAUCGAAUUGUGUGAGAAAAUUCUUAAAUUCUGCCUUUUAUUAAAUAAUAACGAUGCUGAAUGUAAUCUAGUUAAUUAAAACAUCAACGAGCUUAUAUUAUAAAAAGAAAAAAUUAGUUGUCCACAAUUAUCCUCAACAAGGUUGGCGUCAUCCUCGAAAUCAGCAUGGCUGCUUUCUAUUCACGCAUCUCCUUCGCGCGUGUACGCGACGCGAACAAUUGUUUCUCUAAUUUAUUCAAAUUUUACGUGACACGUAAUAGUGAAAACACGCCGGACUGUAAAGAGGAGUUACUAAUAAUAGUAACAUUAAUAAACGACGGGAAACGAUGAAAGGCGCGAGCAUCCUUGUAUGUAGAAUUUGCCAAGUUGGUAGAGGAUCGGACACGAAUGGUGAUAUGCAGUUGCAAUAAUAAACGAGGGAUUAAUUCAACAAUAGAUAAACUGGUACAUGCAUCACUCGGUGUAUAUAAAAUAAACCGACAAAGAUAAAUGGACAGUCCUGUUAAUACUAAACUUUGCUACGCAACGAACUGAAAUCGUAUUUAUAAUUGACGAACGAACCAUUACUCAUUGGUCGUUCCCGUCGAGUUUGCUCGUACAUAUCCCUGUCUAACCAUUGCUCGCUAUAGCCUGUAUAGAUUAAUAAUGGCGGUCACGUUCGAAGGAAAAGGCGGGAAAAAUUUAAAAAAAAAUCAUUGCCGGUUUAAUAUCUCGAACCGCGUUAAGGAAGUUUAUACUCGAACUCGACGCUGCCACGGCAACAUGUCCCGUCAUAAAAUAUCGCUAAUUGCUCCACCGAUAGCUGGCCGAUUACUAGUUAAUUAAAUCUGUAUUACUUUAGCAACUAGUUUCGGUUCGAUCGACUUUAAUUAAUUAUCGAUUAAUCUUGAAACAUGCGCAUUCGCCUGACUUUCUCUCGUUUACAAGGAUAAUAUCACGGUGAUUUUAUCGUGUAGACGAACAAGAAUAUUACGUAUAAAACAUUACGUUCUUUUUUAUUAUGAUUUCUUUAUAAGAAAAAUUGCAUGUUACAAGUUUUGUAUUUAAUUUUCAUUUCGAUCAAGAAACCUACAAGAGGUAAAGACGAUUCCCGCAUUACCAACGAUAUACAAGUGGCCGAAGUAAUGAAAACCGAAUAAAACCGAGAAUGUCCGAGAUCGGCCGAACGGCCGGCAACUCCGCACGAGGGGACUCUAGCGAACUCCAUAAGCCGGCUUCCGCUUCGUCCGGCGCGAACGUCGGAGCUUGUUCGUCUGUUGCUUUUUUUUUCUUUUUCGUUUUUGAUGGUCAUCCUUUGCCUCCUUUUUGUUGUCAAAAAGUCGUCGAGUACCGGUAAAUUCAUUGCGUGAUCACCAAAUUCGCCGUCUCGUUUCUAUACAGUGGCAAAGUGGAAACAGUGAGUGAGAGAUACACGUGAGAGAGUGUUGGGAUCGAAAAAUGUGACAGCAACGGCUUUCCGACGGCCGUAGGGGGAGAAACGCCGCGAUUUUAGUCGCAAUCGCGCCUGCGCAUUUUCUUUCUCUUUUCCUCUGCAAUACCGUGCGUGUAUAUGUGUGUAGAUGGGAGGUCAUGCGUGAAAAAAGUUCCCAUAGAAUUGUGGGAUUAGUAUCUCGCGAGACGAGUGUUCUUUUGCUGAUUGAGUGUUGUUCAUCCGGAUUUUGUCGGGAUCUUGGAAGGAUACGGUGAGCAGUAACAAGAGAACUACACGGUGAAUCAUACAAACAGCUGUGUGCAACAAGCUGCUGUCUCCUUUGUAAUGAUAUGGUGAAACGAAAGGGAUCUCGAUAGCGUUUCUUUUUUUCAAUGCGACAAGAAGAAUGGAAGACGUACUUCGAGAAAGGAACCAUGAAUAAUGAUAAUUCGCUCAUCGUCGAAUCAUUCGAGAAAGGAUCUUUCCCGAGGAAUAAUAAUAAUAAUAAUAUAUAGCAAGUAUAGUCUGGUUUUGAACAGUGUAAUAAUCGUGUGAUGGUGCGAUGGCCGACGAAAAAAGGGAGCGGGUGAAGGUGAAGUAAGAAGGUGAAUCAGCUGUGAUAAAAGUGCGUUAAGCUAAGUGCAUCCGUGUUGGAGUGUUCUCCCCUCUCGUUAUAUAACGUGACGCUAAAUACCAUGUAAUAGAUAGAGAGAAAUCGGAUAAUACAAAAACUGUUUACAAAAACUUGGUCGAAUAAGAAAUCGAGGAAUAAAAGAAAAGACGGGGGGAAAAAAAAAUAGAGAAGAAAG